Molecule: ribosomal RNA, 319 nt
Filed under: uncultured eukaryote
Lineage: Eukaryota
Description: partial 18S ribosomal RNA
Rfam family: Eukaryotic small subunit ribosomal RNA
Source: RNAcentral
CCCUUAGAUGUUCUGGGCUGCACGCGCGCUACACUGAUGCAUCCAACAAGUUUUUUCCUUGUUCGAGAGGACUAGGUAAUCUUAUGAGAAUGCAUCGUGAUGGGGAUAGAUUAUUGCAAUUAUUAAUCUUCAACGAGGAAUUCCUAGUAAGCGCGAGUCAUCAGCUCGUGCUGAUUACGUCCCUGCCCUUUGUACACACCGCCCGUCGCUGCAACUGAUUGGGUGACCUGGUGAACAUCUUGGACCGGCCCACUCAAUUUCGAGAGGACUGGAAAAGGCCGUAAAUCAGGUACAUCUAGAAAUUGCGAAAGUCGUAACA